GCGGACGCGUGCACACAACGACCGCACAGUCUGCAGCGCCGGCAGUUGGCGCACGGCUCCUACUCAAUAGCUCUCAUCGUUUCCACCGGCCAUUUUCCUUUUAAGACCCUGAUGCGUUCCGGCUUUUCGUGCCUCACGUGCGGCAGGGGGGUGGGUGGGCGGUGACUACUACGCAGAACAGAACUCUGAAGUUUCAGAACGAGAGUGGCGCCGGACCCCCCGUCUCCGAUACAACAAUACGAGCACACAGGAUCACGUCCCUAGCUGAAUCACUCCACCGGUAGCUUUCUCAGCUGCCCCGGUUCACAAGACACCACUCGAAGAAGGUGCAACGCAGCCUUCCUCACGAGUCGCGCUUGACAGCAGCACCAGCACAAUUCGUGCAGCCCUCCACCCUGCGCUCUCCAUGGGCCAAGGGAGAGUGAUUGGAAUGGGAAGAUGGCCGCACAGCGGGGUGAGUGUGCGUGUUGGGGGACUAGCCUGUUGCCUCACCUCUGACACACGGUCUCCUCGGCACUCACACGAUCGCCGACUCCUCUGUGCCCCUUCCUCCUCCAACGCCUUCAACACUUCUGCCUCCCUCCUUCUCUCUGUCUCUCUUCCUGUGACGUGUGCGCCUCCCAUUCGCUGGGUAG
RNAcentral lists this unclassified non-coding RNA (635 nucleotides) under Leishmania donovani. RNAcentral's name for it is "gene:unknown". The record is from RNAcentral. Lineage: Eukaryota; Euglenozoa; Kinetoplastea; Trypanosomatida; Trypanosomatidae.